UGCAAGUCGAGCGGACAGAUGGGAGCUUGCUCCCUGAUGUUAGCGGCGGACGGGUGAGUAACACGUGGGUAACCUGCCUGUAAGACUGGGAUAACUCCGGGAAACCGGGGCUAAUACCGGAUGGUUGUUUGAACCGCAUGGUUCAAACAUAAAAGGUGGCUUYGGCUACCACUUACAGAUGGACCCGCGGCGCAUUAGCUAGUUGGUGAGGUAACGGCUCACCAAGGCAACGAUGCGUAGCUCGACCGUAGAGAGGGUGAUCGGCCACACUGGGACUGAGACACGGCCCAGACUCCUACGGGAGGCAGCAGUAGGGAAUCUUCCGCAAUGGGCGAAAGUCUGACGGAGCAACGCCGCGUGAGUGAUGAAGGUUUUCGGAUUCGUAAAGCUUCUGUUUUAGGGAAGAACAAGUACCGUUCGAAUAGGGGGGUACCUUGACGGUACCUAACCAGAAAGCCACGGCUAACUACGUGCCAGCAGCCGCGGUAAUACGUAGGUGGCAAGCGUGUCCGGAAUUAUUGGGCGUAAAGGGCUCGCAGGCGGUUUCUUAAGUCUGAUGUGAAAGCCCCCGGCUCAACCGGGGAGGGUCAUUGGAAACUGGGGAACUUGAGUGCAGAAGAGGAGAGUGGAAUUCCACGUGUAGCGGUGAAAUGCGUAGAGAUGUGGAGGAACACCAGUGGCGAAGGCGACUCUCUGGUCUGUAACUGACGCUGAGGAGCGAAAGCGUGGGGAGCGAACAGGAUUAGAUACCCUGGUAGUCCACGCCGUAAACGAUGAGUGCUAAGUGUUAGGGGGUUUCCGCCCCUUAGUGCUGCAGCUAACGCAUUAAGCACUCCGCCUGGGGAGUACGGUCGCAAGACUGAAACUCAAAGGAAUUGACGGGGGCCCGCACAAGCGGUGGAGCCAUGUGGUUUAAUUCGAAGCAACGCGAAGAACCUUACCAGGUCUUGACAUCCUCUGACAAUCCUAGAGAUAGGACGUCCCCUUCGGGGGCAGAGUGACAGGUGGUGCAUGGUUGUCGUCAGCUCGUGUCGUGAGAUGUUGGGUUAAGUCCCGCAACGAGCGCAACCCUUGAUCUUAGUUGCCAGCAUUCAGUUGGGCACUCUAAGGUGACUGCCGGUGACAAACCGGAGGAAGGUGGGGAUGACGUCAAAUCAUCAUGCCCCUUAUGACCUGGGCUACACACGUGCUACAAUGGACAGAACAAAGGGCAGCGAAACCGCGAGGUUAAGCCAAUCC
Molecule: ribosomal RNA, 1239 nt
Filed under: Bacillus licheniformis
Lineage: Bacteria; Bacillati; Bacillota; Bacilli; Caryophanales; Bacillaceae
Description: bacterial SSU rRNA
Rfam family: Bacterial small subunit ribosomal RNA
Source: RNAcentral